RNAcentral lists this ribosomal RNA (1369 nucleotides) under uncultured bacterium. RNAcentral describes it as "bacterial SSU rRNA". It matches the Rfam family "Bacterial small subunit ribosomal RNA", at positions 28 to 1381 of the family's 1533-position model. The record is from RNAcentral.
GACGAACGCUGGCGGCGUGCCUAAUACAUGCAAGUAGAACGCUGAAGAGAGGAGCUUGCUCUUCUUGGAUGAGUUGCGAACGGGUGAGUAACGCGUAGGUAACCUGCCUUGUAGCGGGGGAUAACUAUUGGAAACGAUAGCUAAUACCGCAUAACAAUGGAUGACACAUGUCAUUUAUUUGAAAGGGGCAAUUGCUCCACUACAAGAUGGACCUGCGUUGUAUUAGCUAGUAGGUGAGGUAAUGGCUCACCUAGGCGACGAUACAUAGCCGACCUGAGAGGGUGAUCGGCCACACUGGGACUGAGACACGGCCCAGACUCCUACGGGAGGCAGCAGUAGGGAAUCUUCGGCAAUGGGGGCAACCCUGACCGAGCAACGCCGCGUGAGUGAAGAAGGUUUUCGGAUCGUAAAGCUCUGUUGUAAGUCAAGAACGGGUGUGAGAGUGGAAAGUUCACACUGUGACGGUAGCUUACCAGAAAGGGACGGCUAACUACGUGCCAGCGGCCGCGGUAAUACGUAGGUCCCGAGCGUUGUCCGGAUUUAUUGGGCGUAAAGCGAGCGCAGGCGGUUUGAUAAGUCUGAAGUUAAAGGCUGUGGCCCAACCAUAGUUCGCUUUGGAAACUGUCAAACUUGAGUGCAGAAGGGGAGAGUGGAAUUCCAUGUGUAGCGGUGAAAUGCGUAGAUAUAUGGAGGAACACCGGUGGCGAAAGCGGCUCUCUGGUCUGUAACUGACGCUGAGGCUCGAAAGCGUGGGGAGCGAACAGGAUUAGAUACCCUGGUAGUCCACGCCGUAAACGAUGAGUGCUAGGUGUUGGAUCCUUUCCGGGAUUCAGUGCCGCAGCUAACGCAUUAAGCACUCCGCCUGGGGAGUACGACCGCAAGGUUGAAACUCAAAGGAAUUGACGGGGGCCCGCACAAGCGGUGGAGCAUGUGGUUUAAUUCGAAGCAACGCGAAGAACCUUACCAGGUCUUGACAUCCCGAUGCUAUUUCUAGAGAUAGAAAGUUACUUCGGUACAUCGGUGACAGGUGGUGCAUGGUUGUCGUCAGCUCGUGUCGUGAGAUGUUGGGUUAAGUCCCGCAACGAGCGCAACCCCUAUUGUUAGUUGCCAUCAUUCAGUUGGGCACUCUAGCGAGACUGCCGGUAAUAAACCGGAGGAAGGUGGGGAUGACGUCAAAUCAUCAUGCCCCUUAUGACCUGGGCUACACACGUGCUACAAUGGUUGGUACAACGAGUUGCGAGUCGGUGACGGCGAGCUAAUCUCUUAAAGCCAAUCUCAGUUCGGAUUGUAGGCUGCAACUCGCCUACAUGAAGUCGGAAUCGCUAGUAAUCGCGGAUCAGCACGCCGCGGUGAAUACGUUCCCGGGCCU